RNAcentral lists this ribosomal RNA (385 nucleotides) under uncultured bacterium. RNAcentral describes it as "bacterial SSU rRNA". It matches the Rfam family "Bacterial small subunit ribosomal RNA", at positions 30 to 416 of the family's 1533-position model. The record is from RNAcentral.
AUUGAACGCUGGCGGCAUGCCUUACACAUGCAAGUCGAACGGCAGCACGGGAGCAAUCCUGGUGGCGAGUGGCGAACGGGUGAGUAAUAUAUCGGAACGUGCCCAGUCGUGGGGAUAACGUAGCGAAAGCUACGCUAAUACCGCAUACGAUCUAUGGAUGAAAGCGGGGGAUCGCAAGACCUCGCGCGAUUGGAGCGGCCGAUAUCAGAUUAGGUAGUUGGUGAGGUAAAGGCUCACCGAGCCGACGAUCUGUAGCUGGUCUGAGAGGACGACCAGCCACACUGGGACUGAGACACGGCCCAGACUCCUACGGGAGGCAGCAGUGGGGAAUUUUGGACAAUGGGCGCAAGCCUGAUCCAGCAAUGCCGCGUGCAGGAUGAAGGCC